This 468-nucleotide ribosomal RNA is filed under the name uncultured bacterium. RNAcentral's name for it is "partial 16S ribosomal RNA". The stretch from base 58 to 468 matches the Rfam family "Bacterial small subunit ribosomal RNA", at positions 39 to 507 of the family's 1533-position model. The record is from RNAcentral.
GGGGGGGGGGGGGGGGGGGGGGGGGGGGGGCGAGGCGGGGGGGGGGGGCGGGGGUGGGGGGGGGGCUCGCGUGGCGGGCGGGGGCGGAGCGCGUGGGUGGCCUGCCCUGGACGUUGGGGUAACUGAAGGAAACUGGGGCUAAUACCGGCUAGGCGCUCCUGCUGCAUGGGAGGGGGUGGAAAGUUGCGGCGGUUGGGGUUGGAAUCGCGGCUUAUGCGCUUGUGGGUGGGGGAGUGGCUUACCAAGACGUGGACGGGUAGAAGGCCUGAGAGGGUGACCGGACACAUUGGGACUGAGAUACGGCCCAGACUCCUACGGGAGGCAGCAGUGGGGAAGAUUGAACAAUGGGAGGAAGCCUGAUGAAGCAACGCAGCGUGCGGGAUGACGGCCUUCGGGUUGUAAACCGCUUUCGCCUGUGACGAAGCGUGAGUGACGGUAAUGGGUAAAGAAGCACCGGCUAACUACGUG